RNAcentral lists this ribosomal RNA (762 nucleotides) under Triticum aestivum (bread wheat). Its description in RNAcentral is "partial small subunit ribosomal RNA". Lineage: Eukaryota; Viridiplantae; Streptophyta; Magnoliopsida; Poales; Poaceae. The record is from RNAcentral.
AUGAGCCGACGCAACGGCCGCACCAUCUACGUGGGCAAUCUCCCCGAGGACAUCCGCGAGAGGGAAAUUGAGGAUCUCUUCUACAAGUACGGUCCUAUUGUCGAUAUCGAUCUGAAAAUUCCUCCAAGGCCUCCUGUUUAUGCUUUUGUCGAGUUUGAAGACCCACGUGAUGCUGAUGAUGCAAUUUAUGGCCGUGAUGGAUACGACUUUGAUGGCUACAAAUUGCGGGUGGAGUUAGCUCAUGGGGGAAAAGGCCCUUCUUUUGAUCGACCAAACAGCUAUACUAGUUCUGGACGUCGUGGUGCACUUAGGCGUUCUGAUUACCGCGUUAUUGUUACCGGAUUACCUUCUUCAGCAUCAUGGCAAGAUCUCAAGGAUCAUAUGCGGCGAGCUGGUGAUGUCUGUUUCUCUGAUGUUUAUCCUGAGGCUGGAGCAAUUACUGGAAUAGUUGAGUAUACCAACUACGAAGACAUGAAACAUGCGAUAAGGAAGCUUGAUGAUUCAGAGUUCCGUAAUGCAUUUUCACGCGCAUAUAUCAGGGUGAGGGAGUACAAUGCUAGGCGUAGCCGCUCUUACUCGAGAAGUAGAAGCCGAAGCUGCUCUUACUCGAGAAGCAGAAGUCACAGUUAUAGCAGGAGCAGGAGUCCAAGGUCAUCAAGAUCCCUAUCACCUGCCGCUCCUGCGCGUGACAAGUCUGCGAGCAGGAGCCCCGUCAGGAGCAGAAGUUUACCCCGUUCUCAGUCUCCUGUGAAAUCUGAGUGA